CACACUGGACUGAGACACGGUCCAGACUCCUACGGGAGGCAGCAGUGGGGAAUANNNGCACAAUGGGCGCAAGCCUGAUGCAGCCAUGCCGCGUGUGUGAAGAAGGCCUUCGGGUUGUAAAGCACUUUCAGUCGUGAGGAAGGCGGUGUCGUUAAUAGCGGNNUCGUUUGACGUUAGCUACAGAAGAAGCACCGGCUAACUCCGUGCCAGCAGCCGCGGUAAUACGGAGGGUGCGAGCGUUAAUCGGAAUUACUGGGCGUAAAGCGCAUGCAGGUGGUUUGUUAAGUCAGAUGUGAAAGCCCGGGGCUCAACCUCGGAAUAGCAUUUGAAACUGGCAGACUAGAGUACUGUAGAGGGGGGUAGAAUUUCAGGUGUAGCGGUGAAAUGCGUAGAGAUCUGAAGGAAUACCGGUGGCGAAGGCGGCCCCCUGGACAGAUACUGACACUCAGAUGCGAAAGCGUGGGGAGCAAACAGGAUUAGAUACCCUGGUAGUCCACGCCGUAAACGAUGUCUACUUGGAGGUUGUGGCCUUGAGCCGUGGCUUUCGGAGCUAACGCGUUAAGUAGACCGCCUGGGGAGUACGGUCGCAAGAUUAAAACUCAAAUGAAUUGACGGGGGCCCGCACAAGCGGUGGAGCAUGUGGUUUAAUUCGAUGCAACGCGAAGAACCUUACCUACUCUUGACAUC
RNAcentral lists this ribosomal RNA (687 nucleotides) under Vibrio sp. a155. RNAcentral's name for it is "bacterial SSU rRNA". It matches the Rfam family "Bacterial small subunit ribosomal RNA", at positions 309 to 988 of the family's 1533-position model. The record is from RNAcentral. Lineage: Bacteria; Pseudomonadati; Pseudomonadota; Gammaproteobacteria; Vibrionales; Vibrionaceae.